GUGUCAGCCGCCGCGGUAAUACAGAGGUCCCGAGCGUUGUUCGGAUUCAUUGGGCGUAAAGGGUGCGUAGGCGGCGGGGCAAGUCUGAUGUGAAAUCCCGGGGCUCAACCCCGGAACUGCAUUGGAUACUGCCUUGCUUGAGUACUGGAGAGGGAACUGGAAUUUACGGUGUAGCAGUGAAAUGCGUAGAGAUCGUAAGGAAGGCCAGUGGCGAAGGCGAGUUCCUGGACAGUUACUGACGCUGAGGCACGAAGGCCAGGGGAGCAAACGGGAUUAGAAACCCGCGUAGUCC
RNAcentral lists this ribosomal RNA (292 nucleotides) under uncultured bacterium. RNAcentral describes it as "partial 16S ribosomal RNA". It matches the Rfam family "Bacterial small subunit ribosomal RNA", at positions 505 to 796 of the family's 1533-position model. The record is from RNAcentral.